GACGAACGCUGGCGGCGUGCCUAAUACAUGCAAGUCGAACGAGAGCGACCGGUGCUUGCACUGGUCAAUCUAGUGGCGAACGGGUGAGUAACACGUGGGUAACCUGCCCAUCAGAGGGGGAUAACAUCCGGAAACGGAUGCUAAAACCGCAUAGGUCUUCGAACCGCAUGGUUUGAAGAGGAAAAGAGGCGCAAGCUUCUGCUGAUGGAUGGACCCGCGUUGCAUUAGCUAGUUGGUGAGGUAACGGCUCACCAAGGCCGUGAUGCAUAGCCGACCUGAGAGGGUGAUCGGCCACAUUGGGACUGAGACACGGCCCAAACUCCUACGGGAGGCAGCAGUAGGGAAUCUUCCGCAAUGGACGCAAGUCUGACGGAGCAACGCCGCGUGAGUGAAGAAGGUUUUCGGAUCGUAAAACUCUGUUGUUAGAGAAGAACAAGUGCUAGAGUAACUGUUAGCGCCUUGACGGUAUCUAACCAGAAAGCCACGGCUAACUACGUG
Molecule: ribosomal RNA, 498 nt
Filed under: uncultured bacterium
Lineage: Bacteria
Description: partial 16S ribosomal RNA
Rfam family: Bacterial small subunit ribosomal RNA
Source: RNAcentral